Molecule: microRNA precursor, 107 nt
Filed under: Chlorocebus sabaeus (green monkey)
Lineage: Eukaryota; Metazoa; Chordata; Mammalia; Primates; Cercopithecidae
Description: miRNA (ENSCSAG00000020535.1)
Source: RNAcentral
CGAGCCCGGCCGCUACGGUAGGUGCGCGCAGGUGCCGAGUCCCCUCGAGGGGCGCAGGUGGGCGGCGGCGGCCUCGCGGGGCGGGGCGGGGCGGAGCGGGGAAGGUG